GGGGAUUUAGCUCAGUGGUAGAGCGCUUGCCUAGGAAGCGCAAGGCCCUGGGUUCGGAUCCCAGCUCCG
Molecule: non-coding RNA, 69 nt
Organism: Rattus norvegicus (Norway rat)
Lineage: Eukaryota; Metazoa; Chordata; Mammalia; Rodentia; Muridae
Source: Rfam